UGCCAGCCGCCGCGGUAACACGGGGGGCGCAAGCGUUAUUCGGAAUUAUUGGGCGUAAAGGGCGGGCAGGUGGUCCGUUAAGUCGUCUGUGAAAAUCCGGGGCUCAACCCCGCGAAAUGCAGACGAUACUGGCGGACUAGAGAUCGGUAGGGGCUAGCGGAAUUCCUGGUGUAGCGGUGGAAUGCGUAGAUAUCAGGAAGAACACCCGUGGCGAAGGCGGCUAGCUGGGCCGAGUCUGACACUCAUCCGCGAAAGCGUGGGGAGCAAACAGGAUUAGAUA
This 280-nucleotide ribosomal RNA is filed under the name uncultured bacterium. RNAcentral describes it as "partial 16S ribosomal RNA". It matches the Rfam family "Bacterial small subunit ribosomal RNA", at positions 506 to 784 of the family's 1533-position model. The record is from RNAcentral.